RNAcentral lists this ribosomal RNA (497 nucleotides) under uncultured bacterium. RNAcentral's name for it is "partial 16S ribosomal RNA". It matches the Rfam family "Bacterial small subunit ribosomal RNA", at positions 28 to 507 of the family's 1533-position model. The record is from RNAcentral.
GACGAACGCUGGCGGCGUGCCUAAUACAUGCAAGUUGAGCGCUGAAGGUUGGUACUUGUACCAACUGGAUGAGCAGCGAACGGGUGAGUAACGCGUGGGGAAUCUGCCUUUGAGCGGGGGACAACAUUUGGAAACGAAUGCUAAUACCGCAUAAAAACUUUAAACACAAGUUUUAAGUUUGAAAGAUGCAAUUGCAUCACUCAAAGAUGAUCCCGCGUUGUAUUAGCUAGUUGGUGAGGUAAAGGCUCACCAAGGCGAUGAUACAUAGCCGACCUGAGAGGAUGAUCAGCCACACUGGGACUGAGACACGGCCCAGACUCCUACGGGAGGCAGCAGUAGGGAAUCUUGGGCAAUGGACGAAAGUCUGACCCAGCAACGCCGCGUGAGUGAAGAAGGUUUUCGGGUCGUAAAGCUCUGUUGGUAGGGAAGAAAAUUCGUGAGAGUGGCAAGCUCAGCAAGUGACGGUAACUACAAAGAAAGGAACGGCUAACUACGUG